RNAcentral lists this long non-coding RNA (4100 nucleotides) under Sus scrofa (pig). RNAcentral describes it as "lncRNA (ENSSSCG00025065896.1)". Lineage: Eukaryota; Metazoa; Chordata; Mammalia; Artiodactyla; Suidae. The record is from RNAcentral.
AGGAGGCGCGGGGAGAUGGGACACAGGCCUGGGGUCAGGCCCUCGGACAUGUUCAACUUGGAAGUACCCCUCCCGGCCCCCACCUUGGAGCUGUUUUCAGUGCCGUAAUCCUGGGUUCUGGCAUCAGAGCCGUUGCCAUGGGGACCUCGGCGAUUCAGCAUUUUGAUGAUGGGUUCAGUGGGGAAGAAGGGGAGAGGAGGGGGAGGCGAGAGGGAGGGGGGAGGGGGGCGGAAGUCUCGGGUUCUCUGGAUGGGGGAUGAGGAGGAAGUGGGAAGGGGGUAUAUUCGUUGCCCUCAGCUGAUGUAACAAACUGCCAACCACUGGGUAGCUUGAAAUAACAGAAAUGGAUCCUCUCCUGCAUCUGGAGGACAGACAUCCAAAAUCAAGGUCUCAGGUGAGCUUGGCUCCUACUGGAGGCUAAGGGAGCAUCUGUCCUGGGCCUGUCUCCUGGCUUCUGAUGUUGCCAGGGAUCCCUGGUGACUGUCCUUUGCCUGGUAGAGAUGUCACUCCCAUCUGUCUCCGUCUUCGCAUGGCCUCCUCCCGGCGUCCCUGUGUGUCUGCUCCUUUUCUGUCUCUCCAAGGACACUCGUCUUUUGAUCUAGGACCCACCCUAAAUCCAGGAUGACCUCAUCUCCGGGUCUUCAAUGACAUCUGCAGCAGCUCUUUUCCCGAAUAAGCUCACCUUCAUAGGUUCCAGGGAUUUGGAACUUGGGCAGGUCUUUUUGAAGAACACUUGGAUGGGGUGGGCAGUUCUGCUGGGAAUUUGCCUCUUUGCACCCCUCGACCAAUCUGUACCUCUCUUUUCCUCUCCCUCUCUCUCCCUCUCUCCCCCUCUCUCUCUUUCUCUCUCAGCCAUAUGUGGGAGUCAGGGAAAUGCGUCAUCUCUGUGUCUCAGUUUCCCCAGCUGUAAACUGGCCGAGAUAAUCAUUCCUUCUUCCAGGGCUGACAUGAGCAACACAGAACACAGAGCUUGAAGUCUGGGAAGCCCUCAGAACAGUGCUCAGCACAUACCUACCACUGAGUAGGCCCUGGGGAUCAUGAACAAAAUCAUAAAUAUCCCUGCCUCCUGAAGCUGAUGUCCUAGGAAAGAUGGAACCAGGGCCAUAAACAGUGGACCAAUACAGAAGGAAGGAUACAGCAUGUUGGAAGGUGAUAAAUGCCAAAGAUAGGAGGAAAGUAGCUGGAAAGGGGGGAUAAAGAAAGAGUCCGGCGUUCCCGUCGUGGCUCAGUGGUUAACAAACCCUGCCCCCUAGGUCUAGGUUGAUCCUCGGAGCCUUGAAGUGGGGAUGGCCCUUUAGAGGUCACGCAGACGGGAGCAAGGAGGCUGAGCCUUUGCACCCCUGGGGAGGAGGUCCAACCUGGGGCAUCAGCCAUCAACACUCCCAGCAACUAGUGGGUGGAGAAUGUGUUGGCCCCGGAGAGGUCCUGGCUGCAUGCUGGCACACCCAGCACAGGUGAGAGGACCAGCUGAGAGGGAUGACGUACAUGAAAUUGGAAAAUUGCUGGGCCCUUGAAGGAUGCUAAAAAAAAAAAAAUUGGGAUUGGUAGGAUUCUGAAAGGUGAUGCUCCCUCCCCUGGGAAAGAGUUUCUUCCCUUGCCAUCCAGGACCUCACAUGUUCUCGUUUCCCCUCCUGCGUCCCUGGCACCAUGGCUGGUUCCUCCUCAUCCCCCGACCUUUAAAUGCAGGUGUGCUUCUAGACACAGUCCUUGGACCACUUUUCUCCGCCAAUUAUGCACUGUCUCAUCCAUUCUCAAGCCUUUAAAUACCAUUUAUAAGCUGAAGACUCUUAAAAUUUUAUCUCCAGCUUGGACCUUGUAUUGAACUCCAGACUCAUAUAUCCAACUGCCUACUCGAUAUCUCUCUCUACUUAUAUGUCUAAUAGGCUGUGGCCACCGUGGGAAUGCGCUGCUCACACCUCUGGUUACAGGAAUGGGGUAGCUGACAUCCCUGGACCCAGCCUCACGCCCACUGAGCCAUGCAUCCUGCUCAGCAUCCCCUGGGGUGAGUGAGAGAGAAGCCAGUACACAACAGGUUCAUUCUUAUGGGAUGUGAACACCCUUGAUGAGUGAUUUUGGCUCGAGGAUGCCCCCCCAGUGGCCUGGCUGAACCAGUCUUAGAACUGCGCUGUGUCUCUGGGAUCUCCCUCCCAGGUCCUCCUUCUCACUUGCUCUCUUGUCACAGGAGACAACCCUGCAUCACCCUGUGGGAUCUCCCCACCUACCACUGCCCCCCUGCCCAAUCCCUCACAGCCAUUACCCCUGGAAGUCUCUUGCCUGAUCUGGUCCUGUCUCUGGAGACAGUCCUCUCUCUAGUCCUCCAAGGAGCCUGCCCCAUCUCAAACUUCAAAUGUUCUAAACCAGAGGAACCAACUCCCUUUCCCCUCUAAAUACCUCCAGUCUUCAUCUUAAUACAUGACGACAAUCUUCAGUUGUUCAAGUUAAAAAACAGUGGUAAAUUAGGGGCUAGGGACUGAUAUAGACACACAAUUAUAUAUAAAAUAGCUAACAAGGACCUAUGGUAUAGCAUGGGGAAAUUUACUCAAUACUGUAUAAUAAUCUAAGUGGGAAAAGAAUCUGAAAAGGAAUGGAUAUAUGCAUAUGCAUAACUGAUUUACUUGGCUGUAUGCCUGAAAUUAACACAACUUUGUAAGUCAACUAUAUUCCAAUAAGACAAAAUUUUAAAAACCCCGAUGCACCAAAACCUGUUGGCUUCCACUUCAGAGCCUCUCCAGAGCUGGAUGUGCCUGGCUCUCCACCGCUCCUGCACCAGCCCAAGCUGACGUCAUCUCCCAUCUGCAUUGUCACAAAACCCUCUUCUCUGGACAGUCAUCGCUUCAUUCUUGCCCUGCCCCUCCCUUGGGCUGUCGUCAACAAGCAGCUGAGUGACCCUGUUGAGCUGAGAUGUCAGAUCAUCUCCUGGGGCCAGAGGCUCACAUGUAAAAGCCCUGAGCUGCCUUGAUGGUCCCUCCCCACCCCCUCUCCACACACCCUUUGCUGUUCACCUUCAGGCCAGCAUCCACCUUAGGGCUGUCGUCAUCCUCCUGCUCCUUGUUCUCACGCUCAUCCUCUCCUCUCUCUUGGGCUUUCACCCAGCUACCAUCCUUCAGGCUUUCCCUGCCCAGCCCAGCCCACAUGCCACUCUUCCCCAUCCCAUGCAAAUUCUGACAUCAGUUUUUGCUUUUUAAAUGUGUGGAUUGGUCUGACUCAUGCCAUUAGAACAGAAGCUCCAUGGAAGCAGGAUUUGGGUCUCUGUUCCUCCCCAUCCCCAGGUCUGCUCAGUGUCUGGGCCAUAGCAGGUGCUCCACAAAUAUUUGGUGAGGGAAUAAAGAGUGAACUCACCGUAGUACCUGAUGCAGAACGGUAUUUGAUAAAUAUUAGCCUUAUGAAAUUUUGUUUGCUUUUAUUUCAUAAAAUUCAGGAAUCUGUAGAGCAAGAAACAAAAAUAACCUAUAAUCCCACUUUUUGAUACCCCCUAUUGACAUUUUUAAAAAGAUAAAAAUAAUACAUGUAGACAGUUAGAAAAUCCUAUUAAGUAUCAAAAGGCACAAGAUGUAAAGAAAGAGGCUUCCACUGCAACUCCUGAAUACCUCUCCCCCCCAACCCCGGCAGCCCCACGAGGGUGUCAUUUCGUCUGGGGUGAGAUGGGCUCAUCCACUGGGGAGGGGGCGCAGGCAUGGCCAGGGAAGAAGCUGGAGACUGUUGGACUUCAAGGCCCCUUCAAGGAGAUUGGACUCAAAGCCUCUGGCCAAGACAAGAAUUAUCAGACCCUUAUCAUCUCCCACCUGUCUCAUUGUAAUGCCCCCUCCCCACCUUGAGCAACCUGGCUGCUCCUUCCUGUCCCCUCCUAGGAAAGGUUUGUGACCCAUUCCUCACCCUGCCCCUGUAGGGGCCUUAUACGCCCCCAACCAACUGCAAUUGUAGUGUAAGACUCCUCUUUCCCCAUCCAAUCGGCAGGUCAGCAGGUGUAUCCUGAGACCUCUCUUCUCUCUGGGCUAUAGAAGCAGACUUGACCAUGAACUCGAGUCGGCACUCCCUGAUUAUUAGGAAGUCUUCCCACUGCGCUAGCAGCAUCUUUCACGUCAAUAAACUCUUCUUUCUCU